RNAcentral lists this RNase P RNA (346 nucleotides) under chicken gut metagenome. Its description in RNAcentral is "Bacterial RNase P class A". It matches the Rfam family "Bacterial RNase P class A". From Rfam's summary of the family: Ribonuclease P (RNase P) is a ubiquitous endoribonuclease, found in archaea, bacteria and eukarya as well as chloroplasts and mitochondria. Its best characterised activity is the generation of mature 5'-ends of tRNAs by cleaving the 5'-leader elements of precursor-tRNAs. The record is from RNAcentral.
AGUUGGAUAAAUGAUCGCGGCUGUAAGUGUCGAAAGACCACAGGUGAGGAAAGUCCGGGCUUCAUAGGGCAGGGUGCCGGAUAACGUCCGGUGGAGGCGACUCCCAGGCUAGUGCAACAGAAAUAAACCGCCAGUUAUUUUAUUGGUAAGGAUGGAAAGGCGAGGUAAGAGCUCACCGCUAAUCUGGUAACAGAUUAGGCUCUGUAAACCCCACUCGAAGCAAGACCAAAACGUAGGCGAUACGAUUGCCCGUCGUGCUUACAGGUAGGUCGCUUGAUCUUAUUGGUAACAAUAAGGCUAGAUAGAUGAUCAUUCACGACAUAACCCGGCUUAUCGUUCGACUCAU